GAUAAUCUGUAAAUUGAUAAUCAAUAGGUAUUUUUAAUCAUUAAAUAAAAUAAAGUAAUCGGAUUGCAGGCAGCCUGUAUAAUUUUCCAAAACAAUCUACAUGUAAUGAAUAUCCGUCAAAAGUUCUUGGAGAACAUCAUUAAACGAAAGAAACGGAGGAAUAAAACCUAGAAUCUCGUAGACGAAAUCUACCAUACAGCUGUGUGUUAAAAUAAACUGUUGCCUAACACCUAACGAAAAACUCGAGAACAUAAACCCAAAAUAAUCCCUUACCUCCGCUUUUAUAUUCUCCAAAGAAAAUAAGGUAUGUCUCCGGUGAUGUUGUUCUUCCACUUCGCCCAUGACGGAAUCAUUUGGAAUGGGUAAUCGGCAACAUGAUUUACAAAUCAUACAGGUUUUGAGAUAUACGAGAUUGCCUGGUGGAGUUGAUAUAUGAGACUGCCUGGUGGAGUUGAUAUACGAGACUGCUUGGUGGAGUUGAUAUACGAGACUUCAUGGUACAAGACCAACGAAGAAUUUCGAAAUUAG
RNAcentral lists this long non-coding RNA (528 nucleotides) under Zostera marina. RNAcentral describes it as "long non-coding RNA (ZMAR_LNC003103)". Lineage: Eukaryota; Viridiplantae; Streptophyta; Magnoliopsida; Alismatales; Zosteraceae. The record is from RNAcentral.